CACGUAGGGUGCGAGCGUUAAUCGGAAUUACUGGGCGUAAAGCGUGCGCAGGCGGUGAUGUAAGACAGGUGUGAAAUCCCCGGGCUUAACCUGGGAACUGCAUUUGUGACUGCAUCGCUGGAGUGCGGCAGAGGGGGAUGGAAUUCCGCGUGUAGCAGUGAAAUGCGUAGAUAUGCGGAGGAACACCGAUGGCGAAGGCAAUCCCCUGGGCCUGCACUGACGCUGAGGAGCGAAAGCGUGGGGAGCGAACAGG
Molecule: ribosomal RNA, 253 nt
Filed under: uncultured bacterium
Lineage: Bacteria
Description: partial 16S ribosomal RNA
Rfam family: Bacterial small subunit ribosomal RNA
Source: RNAcentral